UUACAGGAGCUUAUACUCAGGGGAGUAUUGUGAAAUAGCAAUCCCCAAGAGUGUAGUUAUCCCAUCCCCCAAGCAUGAGCCAAGGUUUCAAGAAAGGGUCAAGUAGUUCUGUUUAAUGCAAGCCCGCACUAACAAUUUAUACAAACAUUUAAAGCCCCAACAGCCUCAUUUACAUACAAUAGGUUACAUAGAUUACUGUAGUACAAGGAAGGGUGGGGUCAGAUAAUAGCAAGGGCUGAUUGGAGAUUGAGGAGGGACAGAGCAGCCAGUUUAAACUGGUCUAGCAUUGUCCCUGGGACAACGCCCUGCUGGAGAAACAAUAGGACAGGAAAAAGGGGGAGGGGGAGAGGCACAGAUAAGCAAUACAUUCAACAUACUCCUCCUCUGUGUCUGGGAGAUAAUUGAUUAUCUUCAGGUACAGAAAAAUACACAAUUUACAAACACCCCAAAAGUACCCCCAAGAUCCAUGGAAACCCCACAAGAGUCAC
Pelobates cultripes (western spadefoot toad) is the source of this 488-nucleotide non-coding RNA. The record is from the annotation of a GenBank genome assembly. NCBI's taxonomy places the organism in Eukaryota, Metazoa, Chordata, Amphibia, Anura, Pelobatidae.